AGAGUUUGAUCAUGGCUCAGGAUGAACGCUAGCGGCAGGCCUAAUACAUGCAAGUCGAGGGGCAGCGGGUGUAGCAAUACAUGCCGGCGACCGGCGCACGGGUGCGUAACACGUAUACAAUCUACCUGUAACAGGGGGAUAGCCCGGAGAAAUCCGGAUUAAUACCCCAUAAUAAGCGAAGUGGCAUCACUUUGUUUUGAAAAUCACGAUGGUUACAGAUGAGUAUGCGACUGAUUAGUUAGUUGGUGAGGUAACGGCUCACCAAGACCACGAUCAGUAGGGGUACUGAGAGGUUAAACCCCCACACUGGUACUGAGACACGGACCAGACUCCUACGGGAGGCAGCAGUAAGGAAUAUUGGACAAUGGGCGCGAGCCUGAUCCAGCCAUGCCGCGUGCAGGAAGACGGACCUAUGGUUUGUAAACUGCUUUUGUACCAGAGAAAACCCACCUACGUGUAGGUGGCUGAUAGUAUGGUAAGAAUAAGCAUCGGCUAACUUCGUGCCAGCAGCCGCGGUAAGACGAAGGAUGCAAGCGUUAUCCGGAUUCAUUGGGUUUAAAGGGAGCGUAGGCGGACAAAUAAGUCAGUGGUGAAAUCCCGUAGCUUAACUAUGGAACUGCCAUUGAUACUGUUAGUCUAGAGUACAGUUGCCGUUGGCGGAAUAUGACAUGUAGUGGUGAAAUACUUAGAUAUGUCAUAGAACACCGAUUGCGAAGGCAGCUAACGAAGCUGUAACUGACGCUGAGGCUCGAAAGUGCGGGGAUCAAACAGGAUUAGAUACCCUAGUAGUCC
This 792-nucleotide ribosomal RNA is filed under the name uncultured bacterium. Its description in RNAcentral is "bacterial SSU rRNA". It matches the Rfam family "Bacterial small subunit ribosomal RNA", at positions 8 to 796 of the family's 1533-position model. The record is from RNAcentral.